Molecule: ribosomal RNA, 497 nt
Filed under: uncultured bacterium
Lineage: Bacteria
Description: partial 16S ribosomal RNA
Rfam family: Bacterial small subunit ribosomal RNA
Source: RNAcentral
GAUGAACGCUGGCGGCGUGCCUAAUACAUGCAAGUCGAGCGAACAGACGAGGAGCUUGCUCCUCUGACGUUAGCGGCGGACGGGUGAGUCACACGUGGAUAACCUACCUAUAAGACUGGGAUAACUUCGGGAAACCGGCGCUAAUACCGGAUAAUAUAUUGAACCGCAUGGUUCAAUAGUGAAAGACGGUUUUGCUUUCACUUAUAGAUGGAUCCGCGCCGCAUUAGCUAGUUGGUAAGGUAACGGCUUACCAAGGCAACGAUGCGUAGCCGACCUGAGAGGGGGAUCGGCCACACUGGAACUGAGACACGGUCCAGACUCCUACGGGAGGCAGCAGUAGGGAAUCUUCCGCAAUGGGCGAAAGCCUGACGGAGCAACGCCGCGUGAGUGAUGAAGGUCUUCGGAUCGUAAAACUCUGUUAUUAGGGAAGAACAAAUGUGUAAGUAACUAUGCACGUCUUGACGGUACCUAAUCAGAAAGCCACGGCUAACUACGUG